RNAcentral lists this ribosomal RNA (465 nucleotides) under uncultured bacterium. RNAcentral describes it as "partial 16S ribosomal RNA". It matches the Rfam family "Bacterial small subunit ribosomal RNA", at positions 338 to 795 of the family's 1533-position model. The record is from RNAcentral.
CCUACGGGUGGCAGCAGUGGGGAAUAUUGCGCAAUGGGCGAAAGCCUGACGCAGCGACGCCGCGUGAGGGAUGAAGGUCUUCGGAUCGUAAACCUCUGUCAGCAGGGAAGAACGGUCACUGUGCUAAUCAGCAGUGAAUUGACGGUACCUGAGGAAUAAGCCACGGCUAACUACGUGCCAGCAGCCGCGGUAAGACGUAGGUGGCAAGCGUUAUCCGGAUUUAUUGGGUGUAAAGGACGUGUAGGCGGGAGCGCACGUCAGAUGUGAAAACUCAGGGCUCAACCCUGAGCCUGCAGUUGAAACUGGGUUUCUUGAGUGCGGGAGAGGCAAGCGGAAUUCCGGGUGUAGCGGUGAAAUGCGUAGAUAUACGGAGGAACACCAGUGGCGAAGGCGGAUUGCUGGACAGUAACUGACGCUGAGGCGCGAAAGCGUGGGGAGCAAACAGGAUUAGAUACCCGGGUAGUC